This 83-nucleotide transfer RNA is filed under the name Mycobacterium phage EniyanLRS. Its description in RNAcentral is "tRNA-Ser". The record is from RNAcentral. Lineage: Duplodnaviria; Heunggongvirae; Uroviricota; Caudoviricetes; Vilmaviridae.
GGAGAGUGAUGCAACAGGGUGGUUGCACUCGCCUGCUAAGCGAUGUGUCUGCAAGGAUCACGUUCAACUCGUGCUCUCUCCGC